CCUACGGGCGGCAGCAGUGAGGAAUAUUGGUCAAUGGACGAGAGUCUGAACCAGCCAAGUAGCGUGAAGGAUGACUGCCCUAUGGGUUGUAAACUUCUUUUAUAAAGGAAUAAAACGAGGCACGUGUGCCUUUUUGCAUGUACUUUAUGAAUAAGGAUCGGCUAACGCCGUGCCAGCAGCCGCGGUAAUACGGAGGAUCCGAGCGUUAUCCGGAUUGAUUGGGUGUAAGGGGAGCGUAGAUGGGUUGUUAAGUCAGUUGUGAAAGUUUGCGGCUCAACCGUAAAAUUGCAAUUGAUACUGGCAGUCUUGAGUACAGUUGAGGUAGGCGGAAUUCGUGGUGUAGCGGUGAAAUGCUUAGAUAUCACGAAGAACCCCGAUUGCGAAGGCAGCUUACUAAACUGUGACUGAUAUUGAUGCUCGAAAGUGUGGGUAUCAAACAGGAUUAGAUACCCUGGUAGUC
This 460-nucleotide ribosomal RNA is filed under the name uncultured bacterium. RNAcentral describes it as "partial 16S ribosomal RNA". It matches the Rfam family "Bacterial small subunit ribosomal RNA", at positions 338 to 795 of the family's 1533-position model. The record is from RNAcentral.